UGGGGAAUAUUGGGCAAUGGGCGAAAGCCUGACCCAGCAACGCCGCGUGAAGGAAGAAGGUCUUCGGAUUGUAAACUUCUUUUAUGAGGGACGAAGGACGUGACGGUACCUCAUGAAUAAGCCACGGCUAACUACGUGCCAGCAGCCGCGGUAAUACGUAGGUGGCAAGCGUUAUCCGGAUUUACUGGGUGUAAAGGGCGCGUAGGCGGGGAUGCAAGUCAGAUGUGAAAUCUAUGGGCUUAACUCAUAAACUGCAUUUGAAACUGUAUCUCUUGAGUGCUGGAGAGGUAGACGGAAUUCCUUGUGUAGCGGUGAAAUGCGUAGAUAUAAGGAAGAACACCAGUGGCGAAGGCGGUCUACUGGACAGUAACUGACGCUGAGGCGCGAAAGCGUGGGGAGCAAACAGGAUUAGAUACCC
RNAcentral lists this ribosomal RNA (418 nucleotides) under uncultured bacterium. Its description in RNAcentral is "bacterial SSU rRNA". It matches the Rfam family "Bacterial small subunit ribosomal RNA", at positions 355 to 787 of the family's 1533-position model. The record is from RNAcentral.